GUAGUACAGUACCUUUAGAUAUGACCUAUAUAUCACAACAUCCCAGUGUAACCUUGUCCCUGUCUGGAUACAGUAGUACAGUACCUUUAGAUAUGACCUAUAUAUCACAACAUCCCAGUGUGACCUUGUCCCUGUCUGGAUACAGUAGUACAGUACCUUUAGAUAUGACCUAUAUAUCACAACAUCCCAGUGUAACCUUGUCCCUGUCUGGAUACAGUAGUACAGUACCUUUAGAUAUGACCUAUAUACCACAACAUCCCAGUGUAACCUUGUCCCUGCCUGGAUACAGUAGUACAGUACCUUUAGAUAUGACCUAUAUAUCCGUCUGCUUCCCAAAUAACACCUUAUUCCCUUUAUAGUGCACAACUUUACAUCAGAGACCUAUGAGCCAAUUGGGAAGCGGCCUGUGUGUUCUGUCUCACCUGAGGUGUGUGUUUGUUCUGUCUCACCUGAGGUGUGUGUGUGUGUUCUGUCUCACCUGAGGUGUGUGUGUGUGUUCUGUCUCACCUGAGGUGUGUGUGUGUGUUCUGUCUCACCUGAGGUGUGUGUGUGUUCUGUCUCACCUGAGGUGUGUGUGUGUGUGUUCUGUCUCACCUGAGGUGUGUGUUUGUUCUGUCUCACCUGAGGUGUGUGUGUGUGUGUGUGUGUGUUCUGUCUCACCUGAGGGGUGUGUGUGUGUGUUCUGUCUCACCUGAGGGGUGUGUGUGUGUUCUGUCUCUCCUGAGGUGUGUGUGUGUGUUCUGUCUCACCUGGGGGGUGUGUGUUCUGUCUCACCUGAGGGGUGUGUGUGUGUUCUGUCUCACCUGAGGGGUGUGUGUGUGUUCUGUCUCACCUGAGGUGUUU
This is a long non-coding RNA of Oncorhynchus tshawytscha (Chinook salmon), 843 nucleotides long. The record is from Ensembl. Lineage: Eukaryota; Metazoa; Chordata; Actinopteri; Salmoniformes; Salmonidae.